Molecule: long non-coding RNA, 1662 nt
Organism: Pipra filicauda (Wire-tailed manakin)
Lineage: Eukaryota; Metazoa; Chordata; Aves; Passeriformes; Pipridae
Exons: 4
Source: RefSeq, a predicted model, not a curated record
CUCAGAGUGUCCCCGACCCUCAGAGUGUCCCCAACCCUCAGAGCCCCGAGCCCUCAGAGCCUCCGCGGAGAGAGACCGGCAGGCUCCUCCGCCCACCUCCCGGGGAAUAAACGUGCCCCGCAGAGACGAUGCUCUUCCAUUCCCCUCUUGGGGAAUAAAGGUGCCCGUGAGGGAAAAACUCGUCGCGGGAGGGAUAUUCUCCAUCUCCCUCAGGAGAAUAAAGGGACACACGGACUUGGACCAGGACGAGUGGCUGCCAGGGCUGACGUUUGCAGAGGCAUCAGAGCCAGAAGGAACUGGACUGCAGCCACCUCAGAGAGGAGUGAAAAGAAGGGGAAAUCCCUCUGUAACGUGAAUAAAGAACUGAAAAUUCCACAACAAUUCUUGAAGAUUUCUUCCCUGCUGCAGUGUCUGCUCUGAGGUGACCAAAAUCCCCCAUCAACCUUCAGGGAAUUUUCUGAGAAAACCCUCUCCUCAUGGCCCACAGUCCUGCCAGGAUUGCUGCCAAGAGUGCAAAAGCAUGGAUUAGCUUCACCCCGUGAGCCUGUGAGCAUAUGCAAACCAGCAGAACUCCAUCAAACCUCGCAGAGACACAUCAUGGCAAACCCCUCCCCAACAGAUCCCGAGCUCUGAGGAACCAGGAUCAGGAACUGGCUAAGAAAACAUCAGCAACGCACCACCCCACUCCUAAAAAAACCCAACCCCAAGACAAUAAAACCCCUCAAAGCCCAAACCAGCAACAAUAAAGAGGCAAGGAGCGAUCAGCCUGGUCUGACAGGAUCGUCAAUGCUCCUUCGUUCUGGGGACAGCAGUUUAUCUCAUAAACUCCCCAUUCAACCUCUGUCCCUGCAGGCUGUGGAAAACAAGAGCCCCUGGCUGACUCCUGUCCCCCCCAGCUGAAAGCAGGGUGGGUUCCAGUCUGUGCCUCUCCAGAAAACAGCACUGGGACUAGAGAGAAAAGGCCACAGCAAAAGCUUUGUGCACCGGUACCUUUCCCCUCCUUGCCUUCCAUUGUCAUACUAACGUGAAGUCACUGGUUUUAUUGCUCCUCAUCCCACCUCACUCCCUGUGUGUGUUCCCUACAAACUCUAACCAGCCUGCUCGUUCACACCUUGGGGAGGAGUGUUCACGAGUUUUAUACACUUGCCACACUUGGGAACUUUUACAAGGUUAAAAAAGCACGAGCAAGGCACACAGGGGGUGAAAUAAGUCCUCUGCAAUGAGAGCACAGCCCCCAGCUUUGAGUUCUGCUGUGAGGUAAUCCAUGGUACAGGCACAAAAUCACCACAGUUACGUCACCUGAUGAUGAACAUUCCAUGAAAGCAAAGUUGCCAAACUGCUAGAACUGUUUUGGGUUGGUUUGUUGUUUUUUUUUUAAAUCAUAACAUUAAAGCACAAGUAAAAAAUCCCACAAAUACAAACUACAUAAUAAAUAACUCAUGGUGCUUUCAUAAAAAUCCGCUACGAAAACUUACCCAGAGCCUAAUGAAAACCACGCAGGCACUGGAAUCCUACACCCAGCGUGCCCUCCAAGUAGGAACAGGAACAGCCCUGCUAGUGCUGCUAUCAUUUAACUUGUUUAUAAAGCUGGGAAAAGCUCCAGCUGCAAUCCCACCUCUGUUUUUUGUGCCUUCCUGUGGUCGUAGGCGCAGAAAAUAAAUA